UUAAUCAGUUAUAAUCAGUACAUAUUUAUAGAACUGCACAUUAAAACUUGAAGUAAAAGCCACAUAUGUAUAUAACCAAAAAAUCUAUAAACAUUACGUAGGUUGCCUUUUAUAUUUUGCGAUUUGACAACUCAAGUAUUGCAAUCUGGCGACUCACAACUUUGUCGUAAAGUUUGACAUUUUUGUCACAUACUCAAAACGUUUUGAAAUACGAGCGCUAUUUGCGUUGUUUACAGUUACUUAAAAUUUUCAUCUCAGCCAAAAUAUGGAAUUAAAUCGCGAACAUUUUUGCGCGGUUUUUUCAAAACUUUCGGCGUAGGUUAUCUCAGCAACAGUGCUUCGAUGAACUUAAUUUAGUUUUUGCAAAUACAGCCCAGCUAAAGACCAGUGUUUAUCGAUGGUAUAGUGAAUACAAUUGGGUUCGUAGAUCACUUCAACACGAAUUUCGUGAAUGUCGUCCAAAACCAGUUCUUGUUUCCAAGGCUGUUGAUGCUGUGUGCAAACUGAUAUUGCAAGAUCUUUAUGUGACUAUAGACAUUAGCGGGACUAUCAUAAAUUCAAUAUUGCAUUAACAUUUGAUUGUAUAAAAAAAUUUUCACAUGGACUCUCACACAAUUUGUUGAUAGUUAAAAGAAGACUUCCGUGUGAUUGGUCGAGGGAAAUGUUAAAAAAAUGCGACAAAAAAUAUGACAGGUGAUGAACCGUGGAUUUAUAAGUAUGAGCUUUUCCUCACGACAAUGCGAGUUUUCACACAUCGAUUGAAAUAACUGCAUUUUUGAACACUUAAAAAGUCGAUUUGAUGAGUAAUCCACCGUAAAGUCUUGACUCGGCACCUAAUGACUUCAUUUUAUUCCCGUACGGGAAAAAAUUAAUUAAGAAGUCAUCGUUUUCCGAGACUUGUAAAGGCGAACACAUGUUUUGGAGAUACCUCGAUUAGAGUGGAAAAAGUGCUGCAUGUAAAAGUGUUUUGAUAGAAUAAACCACGUCCAGCACGUCGCGAAGAAAAUGUAGCGGCCGUAGCUGAUAGUGUACAAGAAGACCAUGGAAAGUCGAUACGGCGCCGUUCGCAGCAACUCGCACUAACGUAUGGAACGACUUGGCGCGUUUUACCUCAAGAUCUUAAAUUGAAAACGUAGAAGAUAUAGAUGGGGUAUGAACUGAAGCCUCAAGACUUUCCCAAGCGACACUUGGACUCUUGAAAAGUUCCAAGAAGAUCCGACGUUUUCGAGCCAAAUUUUGUUCAGCGAUAAGGCCCAUUUCUGGCUCAAUGGGAAUGUAAAUAAGCAAAAUUGCCGCAUUUGGGACGAAGAAAAAUAAACGGUUGGGUGUUGUUUGUGGGCCGGUGAAAAAUCGGUCCAUUUUUUUUUUUUGUUUUUUAACGUAACCGUCAAUCGUGCCAUUAUAACCGACUAUUUGAUGCCUGGAAUUGAAGUUCGUGAUCUCGGCGACACGUUUUGGGUCAGUCUAUUGGCCAUCAAAAUCGUGUGAUAUCGCACCGUAAGACCUUUUCCUGUCUGAAUAAGUCUAAAGUCUAUGCGGAAAAUUCCGUCUCGAUUCAUUAGCGAAACAUUACGAGUGUCAUUCGCCAGUUACGAGUCGAAAUACUUAAACGAGUCAUCGAAAAUUGGAUUUAGCGGAUGGACCAUCUAAGAUGUAGCCGCGGCCGAUAUUUGAUAGAGAUAAUCUUAAAAAGAUAAAAGCCGAAGAAUGUUGUUCCGAAUGAUAAUAAACAUUCUCCAUUAAAUUGGAAGUUUUUGGGUUUUUUCUUUGAAAAAGUAGGAUAUCUAGAAAUGGACAAACCCUUAAUGUGUUAAAAACAUAAGGAGAAUUUGAGUU
Molecule: long non-coding RNA, 1836 nt
Organism: Bactrocera neohumeralis
Lineage: Eukaryota; Metazoa; Arthropoda; Insecta; Diptera; Tephritidae
Exons: 2
Source: RefSeq, a predicted model, not a curated record